Molecule: ribosomal RNA, 460 nt
Filed under: uncultured bacterium
Lineage: Bacteria
Description: partial 16S ribosomal RNA
Rfam family: Bacterial small subunit ribosomal RNA
Source: RNAcentral
CCUACGGGUGGCAGCAGUGAGGAAUAUUGGACAAUGGGCGCGAGCCUGAUCCAGCCAAGCAGCGUGAAGGAUGACUGCCCUACGGGUUGUAAACUUCUUUUAUAAAGGAAUUAAGUGAGGCACGUGGGCCUUUUUGUAUGUAUUUUAUGAAUAAGGCUCGGCUAACUCCGUGCCAGCAGCCGCGGUAAUACGGAGGAUCCGAGCGUUAUGCGGAUUUAUUGGGUUGAAAGGGAGCGUAGAUGGGUUGUUAAGUCAGUUGGGAAAGUUUGCGGCUCAACCGUAAAAUUGCAAUUGAUACUGGCAGCCUUGAGUACAGUAGAGGUAGGCGGAAUUCGUGGUGUAGCGGUAAAAUGCUUAGAUAUCACGAAGAACUCCGAUUGCGAAGGCAGCUUACUAAACUGCCACUGACAUUGAGGCUCGAAAGUGUGGGUAUCAAACAGGAUUAGAUACCCUGGUAGUC